GAUGAACGCUAGCGGCAGGCUUAACACAUGCAAGUCGAGGGGCAGCAUAAAUUGUAGCAAUACAAUUGGUGGCGACCGGCGCACGGGUGCGUAACGCGUAUGCAACCUACCCGUCACAGGGGGAUAAUCCGGAGAAAUCUGGUCUAAUACCCCAUAACAUAUGGAUCGGCAUCGGUUUAUGUUGAAAUUUUCGGAGGUGACGGAUGGGCAUGCGUAGCAUUAGCUUGUUGGUGAGGUAACGGCUCACCAAGGCGACGAUGCUUAGGGGGACUGAGAGGUUUUCCCCCCACACUGGUACCGAGACACGGACCAGACUCCUACGGGAGGCAGCAGUGAGGAAUAUUGGUCAAUGGGCGCAAGCCUGGACCAGCCAUGCCGCGUGCAGGAUGACGGCUCUAUGAGUUGUAAACUGCUUUUGUACGAGGGUAAAGUGGGUUACGUGUAACCUUUUGAAAGUAUCGUACGAAUAAGGAUCGGCUAACUCCGUGCCAGCAGCCGCCGUAA
This 504-nucleotide ribosomal RNA is filed under the name uncultured bacterium. RNAcentral's name for it is "partial 16S ribosomal RNA". It matches the Rfam family "Bacterial small subunit ribosomal RNA", at positions 28 to 523 of the family's 1533-position model. The record is from RNAcentral.